This 420-nucleotide ribosomal RNA is filed under the name uncultured Nitrososphaerota archaeon. Its description in RNAcentral is "bacterial SSU rRNA". It matches the Rfam family "Archaeal small subunit ribosomal RNA", at positions 459 to 879 of the family's 1478-position model. Lineage: Archaea; Thermoproteati; Nitrososphaerota. The record is from RNAcentral.
CAGCAGCCGCGGUAAAACCAGCACCUCAAGUGGUCAGGAUGAUUAUUGGGCCUAAAGCAUCCGUAGCCUGCUUUGUUAGUUUUCGGUUAAAUCCAUACGCUCAACGUAUGGGCUGCCGGGAAUACUGCAAAGCUAGGGAGUGGGAGAGGUAGACGGUACUCGGUAGGAAGGGGUAAAAUCCUUUGAUCUAUUGAUGACCACCUGUGGCGAAGGCGGUCUACCAGAACACGUCCGACGGUGAGGGAUGAAAGCUAGGGGAGCAAACCGGAUUAGAUACCCGGGUAGUCCCAGUUGUAAACUAUGCAAACUCGGUGGUGCAUUGGCUUGAUGCCAAUGCAGUGCCGCAGGGAAGCCGUUAAGUUUGCCGCCUGGGAAGUACGUACGCAAGUAUGAAACUUAAAGGAAUUGGCGGGGGAGCAC